This 253-nucleotide ribosomal RNA is filed under the name uncultured bacterium. Its description in RNAcentral is "partial 16S ribosomal RNA". It matches the Rfam family "Bacterial small subunit ribosomal RNA", at positions 524 to 776 of the family's 1533-position model. The record is from RNAcentral.
GACAGAGGUGCCAAGCGUUAGGCGGAAUCACUGGGCUUAAAGCGUGUGUAGGCGGGCGAUCAAGUACCUUGUGAAAUCCCACGGCUCAACCGUGGAACUGCUGGGUAUACUGGUUGUCUUGAGCCAGCUAGGGGCGAGCGGAACAGACGGUGGAGCGGUGAAAUGCGUAGAUAUCAAGAGGAACACCAGUGGCGAAGGCGAGUCCCUGGACAACUUCUGACGCUGAGGCACGAAAGCUAGGGGAGCAAACAGG